AGGGGAAUAGUUCAAUGGUAGAGCAACGGUCUCCAAAACCGUAAAUGGGGGUUCGAGCCCCUCUUCCCCUGCUA
RNAcentral lists this transfer RNA (74 nucleotides) under Lacrimispora celerecrescens. RNAcentral's name for it is "tRNA-Trp". It matches the Rfam family "tRNA". Rfam says of the family: Transfer RNA (tRNA) molecules are approximately 80 nucleotides in length. The record is from RNAcentral. Lineage: Bacteria; Bacillati; Bacillota; Clostridia; Lachnospirales; Lachnospiraceae. RNAcentral also lists the same sequence under 2 other names.